This 350-nucleotide unclassified non-coding RNA is filed under the name soil metagenome. Its description in RNAcentral is "partial contains 5.8S ribosomal RNA, internal transcribed spacer 2, and large subunit ribosomal RNA". The stretch from base 1 to 120 matches the Rfam family "5.8S ribosomal RNA", at positions 35 to 154 of the family's 154-position model. The record is from RNAcentral.
GAUGAAGAACGUAGCGAACUGCGAUAAGUAAUGUGAAUUGCAGAAUUCAGUGAAUCAUCGAGUCUUUGAACGCACAUUGCGCCCCCUGGCAUUCCGGGGGGCAUGCCUGUCCGAGCGUCAUUGCUGCCCUUCAAGCCCGGCUUGUGUGUUGGGUCGUCGUCCCCCCCGGGGGACGGGCCCGAAAGGCAGCGGCGGCACCGCGUCCGGUCCUCGAGCGUAUGGGGCUUUGUCACCCGCUCGAUUAGGGCCGGCCGGGCGCCAGCCGGCGUCUCCAACCAUCUAUUUUACCAGGUUGACCUCGGAUCAGGUAGGGAUACCCGCUGAACUUAAGCAUAUCAAUAAGCGGAGGA